RNAcentral lists this ribosomal RNA (548 nucleotides) under Dujonia zeylanoides. RNAcentral's name for it is "eukaryotic LSU rRNA". It matches the Rfam family "Eukaryotic large subunit ribosomal RNA", at positions 73 to 638 of the family's 3401-position model. The record is from RNAcentral. Lineage: Eukaryota; Fungi; Ascomycota; Pichiomycetes; Serinales; Debaryomycetaceae.
GAUUGCCUCAGUACGGCGAGUGAAGCGGCAAAAGCUCAAAUUUGAAAUCUAGCACUUUCAGUGUUCGAGUUGUAAUUUGAAGAAGGUAACUUUGGUUUUGGCUCUUGUCUAUGUUCCUUGGAACAGGACGUCACAGAGGGUGAGAAUCCCGUGCGAUGAGAUGCCCAAUUCCAUGUAAAGUGCUUUCGAAGAGUCGAGUUGUUUGGGAAUGCAGCUCUAAGUGGGUGGUAAAUUCCAUCUAAAGCUAAAUAUUGGCGAGAGACCGAUAGCGAACAAGUACAGUGAUGGAAAGAUGAAAAGAACUUUGAAAAGAGAGUGAAAAAGUACGUGAAAUUGUUGAAAGGGAAGGGCUUGAGAUCAGACUUGGUAUUUUGCGUUCCCUUCCUUUUUGGUUGGGUUCCUCGCAGUUUACUGGGCCAGCAUCGGUUUGGAUGGUAGGAUAAUGACAUUGGAAUGUAGCUUUACUUCGGUGAAGUGUUAUAGACUUUGUUGAUACUGCCUAUCUAGACCGAGGACUGCGUCUUUGACUAGGAUGCUGGCGUAAUGAU